RNAcentral lists this transfer RNA (64 nucleotides) under Pteromalus puparum. RNAcentral describes it as "tRNA-Thr". The record is from RNAcentral. Lineage: Eukaryota; Metazoa; Arthropoda; Insecta; Hymenoptera; Pteromalidae.
UAGUUAUUAAUUUAAAUAAAAUAUUAAUUUUGUAAAUUAAAUUUGUGAAUGAUCACAUAACUAU